GACGAACGCUGGCGGCGUGCUUAACACAUGCAAGUCGAACGAAGUGGCGAACGGGUGAGUAACGCGUAAUCAACCUGCCCUUCAGAGGGGGUCAACAGUUGGAACCGACUGCUAAUACCGCAUACUGAAGGAGGGGUUUGCGUCUGAUUAGCUAGUUGGAGGGGUGACGGCCCACCAAGGCGAUGAGCAGUAGCCGGUCUGGGGGGAUGGACGGCCAAAAUGGGACUGGGACAAGGCCCAGACGCCUACGGGAGGCAGCAGUGGGGAAUCUUCCGAAAUGGACGAAAGUCUGACGGAGCAACGCCGCGGGGGUGAUGGCGGCCUUCGGGUUGGAAAGCUCUGUUAAUCGGGACGCGGUACCGGAAUAGAAAGCAACGGCUAACUACGUGCCAGCCGCCGCGGUAAUAC
This 408-nucleotide ribosomal RNA is filed under the name uncultured bacterium. RNAcentral's name for it is "partial 16S ribosomal RNA". It matches the Rfam family "Bacterial small subunit ribosomal RNA", at positions 28 to 526 of the family's 1533-position model. The record is from RNAcentral.